RNAcentral lists this long non-coding RNA (406 nucleotides) under Theobroma cacao (cacao). RNAcentral's name for it is "long non-coding RNA (TCAC_LNC000760)". Lineage: Eukaryota; Viridiplantae; Streptophyta; Magnoliopsida; Malvales; Malvaceae. The record is from RNAcentral.
GUCGUACCAUUUAUCGCCUUGUCCUGGCUGUGCCCACCCAGCUGGAACGUAACCAGCCUUCAGCCUUACGAAAUCUGCAAUCCCUUCAAUCAAUUUCCCAAGAGUUUCGUCUUGUUGCCCAUUCCCGUUCCACUGCCAUACGUGAGUCAUCUCGUGGUAAAGCACCCCAUUGAAUUCUGGCUUUAGUUUAUCACCGCUAAAAGCUUCGAUAUGCUUAUCGCUUACUUGAAUCUUAUCGUUGCUUGUACGUGCAGGAAUUUGCGGUGGCAGGGUAUCGACGACGAAAAGGCUUACGGUUGAAAUACUGUUCCUCUUUCCAUCCUGCGGAUCAGUUUGUUGGAAGAGGUUCCAGAUGAAUUCCGAGGCCGAUUGCAUUUGUUGCCUCGUGUAUUCAACUCCGAGCUGG